Molecule: long non-coding RNA, 2338 nt
Organism: Lycium ferocissimum
Lineage: Eukaryota; Viridiplantae; Streptophyta; Magnoliopsida; Solanales; Solanaceae
Exons: 3
Source: RefSeq, a predicted model, not a curated record
UGUAAAUAAAUUCAGAACUAAGGGCAUAUUAGACUUUGCAACAAAUUUUUAAUAAGUGUAUUGGCAGCAAUAACCACGUAGCAUAUGUCUUCUAUCGCUACGUUCCGAUCGGCCUUCUGGCGUUUUCCUAUUGCUGCAAUUUACUCUUUGGAAGAACUGAAAUCCAGAUUCAUUCACAUAUGAAAAUCUCACAUCUGGUCUUUGAUUGCUACACCAAUCACUAGUCUCCUCAUUCUUAUCACCUUCCGAGGUUUUCUCUUCUUUCUACGUUGUGGUGACCUUUCUUCCAUCUUCAGUCUUCGUUGCUGAUUUUCUGGUUUAAUUCGCAAUGAACUUUUGAUGGAGGCUUUUCUGUUCCACCAUGCAUCCGUGGUCUUUUCCAUCCUCUAGAGUUUCUUGUGAGGAACAUUAUCAAGAGAAGUUUCCUUCAGAUGAUCUUGGACGAUACUUGGAUAAUUAGGAGUGCUGAUCCAAGCCGAACCAGUUGAAAAUGGCAUUUUCCAGACUCUCAACUUGAGUCUUUCAACCAGUACGUAUUACUCUUUAUGCAAACUCUCCCUCGAAGCUCUUGUAUCUUGUAUAUAGAUUAUAACACUUUUGAGUUUGGAAGAUUUCUCUUUGCUUAGUGGGAUUAGAAUUCAAUAUGAGGGCUCUUUUAGUCAUUUUGAAAUAUUUACUUUGCUACGUGUCUUUCUGCUUCUUCCUAGGCUUUACUUUACUCUUAAAUUUUGGGUCUUCUCUAAUCAUCAUCAUACUUCAUCUUUGAUUUUGAGUCUUUUCUAAUCAUCAUCAAAUCAGGUAAUCUCUAUACCCUUUUGUGAUAAUUAAUUUUUUUAAUGAUACAGUAAUUAAUAUUCGAGUUCACCUAUUUUAAUUACUGUCAUAAGUACAAGUUUCAAGAAUCAUGUGCACCACGAUUGAAGUAAUCUAACCGUUUGGAAUGAUGUUUAGAUCUAUCCGUUCAUUGUUGCCUUGUGCAGUCGUCUGCAACCGCCAGCGAGUUUAAGGAUCGUUCAUUUACCAUUACCCAGUUGUCUGCCAUUACUAUUCCUUGAACCUUUCUCGCUAACUUUUCUUCUUAUUCUUCGUCCCCUGUUUUUGGGGUUUUGCCUUGCCUUUGUUUCGUUUGCGUCAUCUAAUUUCGUCAUUAGAAAUCUAUAUUGAGCAACAUCAGAGACAACUUCAAACCAUCGGUAUCAGCGCUGGUAAAACCCUCUCAAUUGUACCCUUGUACCAAAAGAGUAAAACUAUAUCCAACACAUGCUACAUAUAUUUAUUUCUUUUUAUAAAUUCUUAUUUGGGGUAUCUCUGAUCCUUUCAUUUUUCGUAUAAGUGGUUUGUACUUGUCAAACUAAAUAUAUUUUUUUUCUUUCUAAUGGUGAGGAUAGUGCAUACCUUGCCAUGUCAAUGUUUUUAGAGUAAAUUUUCCUUCGUUUUGAACUGGAAGUGGUUUGUAGUUUGUUUUUGUAGAAUAAAUGUGCCGACCCUACUGGGAAGCAUUCAAUCAUGUUAAAAAAACUUCGAGAGUAUGAUUCAGGUAAGUGCGCCUCAUAGAUGAAAGCCCUAAAGGGAUUUGGUUGCGUUUCACAUAUAUAGAUUGCCAAUAAACUCUAAUGAUAUUAGGGUGCCAUUCUGCAGUGACCAUGGAAGAUGACAGGCUGACCACAUAGGUAGUAAAGUUUUGCCCUGCAAUUUAUUUGUUACUGCAUUUAGUCAGGAUUAAUAUUGCAAGGUAAGUAUUGUGAAUUCCACCUGUUCUAGGAUUUGAUUAUUUCAUAAAUUAUAUUAUCAUUUCUCCUUGUUAUUUUUUUUAAAUUUUUUUAUUUAAUUUCCAACUUCUGGCACCCUGUAGUUAGCCUGCAAUUCAGUUUAGUUGUAUGAGUGUUCCACUUAAGGAUGAAUGAAUCAAACAUGAAACUUUAGAAGAGUUAUAUUGCUUUAAAUUUUAUGUUAAAUUCAAUGUACGAUGUUGUUUGUUUUUUCACUGCCGUUAUGUUGCCACAGUGUGAGAUGAAAACAUGCCAACACAGGUUUUAACAUUUGUAGAUUAGAUCGUGCAUUCUAGAAGACAUGUCUCUAAAAUAUAUUUUCCAGUGAUUAUUAGUGAUGUUUAUCCUUUGUUCUCUCCAAGUUUCUGGCUGAUAUGAGGAGUUCUCUGGUGCAUAUUUAAUUUGUGUCAAUUGCCUUUGUAAAAGUCAAGAUUGAAGGAAACAGAGGAUGUGUCAUGUGAAGGUAUCCAAAUGCUACUUGGUUUUCAGCCUCCACAAGCAUUUUGGUUUGUAAUCAGAAUGAAAAAACAUGGUUGUUAUUUGUUUAUUGAUUUUGAGACUUAGAAAUG